This is a long non-coding RNA of Harpia harpyja (harpy eagle), 1319 nucleotides long. RefSeq lists it as uncharacterized. The transcript has 2 exons. NCBI's taxonomy places the organism in Eukaryota, Metazoa, Chordata, Aves, Accipitriformes, Accipitridae. The record is from RefSeq and is a predicted model, not a curated record.
CCGCGCAGCUCGCCGUUCGCCCGCGGCGCCCCGCUCUAGCGCGCCCGGGCGCGGAGAGGCGCGGAGAAGCGCGGAGGAGCGCGGGACGGCCGGUCUCCGCGCACACGGGGCGGGCGGCGCGGCUGGCCGCCGCCGCGGGGAGGGAGAGGGGCUGCAGCCCCCGCGCAGCCCCCGGCCCGGCUCCGCGCCCUCCCGCCCGGCCGCCGGGGAGGUGGGACGCGGCAGAAGGGAGAGAAAGGACCUACUUUUGGGCAGUUUUCUCGCCCUCGCCUUGGAUCUCAUCGUGUCGGCUUGUGGAUUCCUCUCCUCCUCCUUGAGCCCAGAAGCAGCUACACACUAUCUUCAUCUCCCAAGCAUUGUCAGUUUGGACACCUUCGCACAUGCGCACAGAGCAUUCAAUCUGACACCCUCACCAGGGCCAAAAAAACUUUCCAAUGUAUUCAUCAUCAUCAGGGUGGUUUUUUUUUUUUUUUUUUGUCCUAUCCUCUUCUUCAGACCACUUAUCUCUCCCCCCUCCUCUCUCCCAGCACCAUCACAGCCUUCCCCUGAUCUGCCCCUUUAAGAAAAAUCAGCCCUCUCCGCUCCUACCCCUCUGCACACUGACCUUACACACUGGACAAUAUUUAAGGAUCAAGGUGCCAUCCUAUAAAGAGGUGGAAAGCAGCGCGGCGGGGAAGCGCUCCCGAGGGCCGGGGGAAGCCGGGAGACGCGCGGGCGCCCCAGAAAAAAGAAAGAGGGGGGGAGAGGAAGGAGAAAUAUCCCCCUCCCUCCCUCCCGGAGCGAUGCCGGCCAGCCCGCAGGACCUGCCCGUCGCCCCCGGGAGCGAAGGUAGAGAGAGCCCGGGCAGAGGGGCUUUGAAGAAAGGAGCGAAGUGUAAAUAGCCCGAUGAUUGAUGUGCUGGCUUUGACCGCGGAGAAAGCACUAUUUUCAUUCAAGUGGCCAGGUCAGAUGGUCACGGAAGAAGGUUGAAAGGUAGGAUUUAAUGAGAUUAAUACGGAGAGAGAGAGAGGAAAAAAAAGAAAGCGCGGGCCUUCCUAAACAUUCAAUAAAAUACCCGGGUUAGGGAGAGCGCUCUGCUCUGCGCUUGCGGUGCUAACCCGUAGCGGGGCUCGGCGAGCAGGAAAAGCCGGAGCCCCUCACUGAAGGGCAUUGCAAAAACACUCCAAAAACUUCGCUGGGUGCGUCAGGUCUCUGCUGGAAGCCCUGCUGCCAGCUGCACUUUUGCCCUGCAGGUGGAACUGGGGAGGAGGGGGGGGGGGGGGAAUAGUCCUGCUAAUUACCGCUUUUCCCCUCCUCAAUAAACUCUUUAAUUGCAAAUG